UUGUCCUUGUGUUGUUUGUAGUACUCAUGUCAUGGUACUAUAAUUGUCAAAAAGGACGUAUAGAAAAUAUCUUUAUAACGUUAUCCAUUUCAACAUUA
Small nucleolar RNA from Condylostylus longicornis, 98 nucleotides. RefSeq annotates it as small nucleolar RNA psi18S-1377. The record is from RefSeq and is a predicted model, not a curated record. Lineage: Eukaryota; Metazoa; Arthropoda; Insecta; Diptera; Dolichopodidae. The transcript has a single exon.